ACAGCCAUUACGCGUUGAAACACUGGUUCUCGUAUACUCACUGAAGUUAAGCAAUGUUGAGCCUAUUCAGUACCUAGAUGGGUGAUUGCUUGAGAAUUCCAAAUGAUGU
Non-coding RNA from Acanthosepion pharaonis, 109 nucleotides. NCBI's taxonomy places the organism in Eukaryota, Metazoa, Mollusca, Cephalopoda, Sepiida, Sepiidae. The record is from the annotation of a GenBank genome assembly.